Long non-coding RNA from Felis catus (domestic cat), 1672 nucleotides. RefSeq lists it as uncharacterized. The record is from RefSeq and is a predicted model, not a curated record. The transcript has 2 exons. NCBI's taxonomy places the organism in Eukaryota, Metazoa, Chordata, Mammalia, Carnivora, Felidae.
UAUCCCUCGGGUAAAUUCCUAGCAGUGCUAUUGCUGGGUCAUAGGGUAGAUACUAUUUUUAAUUUUUUGAGGAACCUCCCCACUGUUUUCCAGAGCUAGACUGGCUUUUAGAGAUUAGGAAACUAUUUCUAGAAUUUCUAUUGCUACCACAGAAGCUGGCAAGGGAACAAUCCAAAGGAAGCCUGAGGGAAUAAGCUGUUAAAAACGUGAUCUAAGUCACACAUCCUCUCUUGGUACAUAGUCCCCAUCAAGUUUAUCCUUUCCCGGGGUUAUAAUGGCACAACCUAUGGGAAGAGAAAUAGUUACAAGGACAGGUGAGAGGAACACAGAGCUAGAAAGUCCUCUGCACUCAUCAGGAUAUCCCAUGUCUUUUAACACAAAGGAUACCACAUGCCUCCCUGUGCAUCACAGAUACCACUCAAACACCCACGUCCCACAAAUCCCAUGUAUCCCGGAAGCAGUGUUGGCAUGCUUAAUGGGGACUCGUGCGAAAGUUUCGCCUGGGCUGGGGAGCCUCAGGGACAACCACCGAUAAAAAUAAGCUGACGGUGCUCGGCUGCCCCUCAGUCAUGCCACCUGUGUCUCACCCAGUGCGGUGGAGCAGGACUUGAUGAAACGUGUCUGGGUCAUGCAGCUGCUUGCACUUGAGCUACCUUCCCUGUGUUGCAAGCCAUGCAGAUUGACCCCGAGAGGAUGCUGGUGGCUGCUGAAUACGUUUGCCGUAUUUUUCGGUCCGAGUUAACGUCAGCUGGUCAGAAACGACCUCCCGCUUGCCUCCAGAGCUGCUGGAGCAUGGCAGUGACACUUUGCUAACGCUAUAGAAUGUAUUAACGAAAGAUAAGUGAUGUUCUAUCACCACGGGUUCAUGAGUUGUUUGGGGGAGGGUUGUAUCAAUCUGCCAGCAAAGCUUAGUGGUGAUAAUGAUAUGCAUCUGGUUUGGGUGGAGCCUGUGGGGUUUUGACCAUUGAAGGCUGGCCGCGUAGCUUCAAUAUGCCUGGAGGACCAGCUCCCUACAAGAGACUCCCACCACAGGGAGACUUUGGGUUCCUACUGCUCAGGGUCUUUGCAUGUACACCACUGAGGAUGUGGGACCUGUGUGACUCAGCAAUGGGAGGACAAAGAAGACUGUUCCCGAGAGUGCCAGACCCCUUCUGAUAUGUCUCUCUCCUGAAUUACACCCAUUGCCUGUGACAAGGCUGAGCGUAGCACGUUUGAAUCCCGUGAGCCCUGUCAGCAGCAGAGCAUUUAAGGGAGGGCAGCGGGAGCACCACAGAGGAGCUUUCCCAGGAGGAAGGCAGCUGGGAACAGAGACGAGCACCAGGACGGAGCCCUGUGGACGAGACAGAGGGAUGUACUCAGAGAUGUGGAGAGGGAGCCACAGGGUUUGCUGGGUAAGCAUACAUAACUUUUAAAAAAUCCUAAUGUAUUGAGGUGAAAUUCACAUAACUUAAUCAUGUUUAAAGUGAACAAGUCAGUACAUUGGUACAUUCACAAUGUGAACUCUCUAGUUCCAAACCACGUUCGUCAUCCCCAACAGACACCCCACAAUCAAGCAGCCGUUCCUCGUUACCCCUCCCCGACCCUUGGCACCCACGAAUUGCCUUUUGUCUCUAUGGAUUUGCCUGUUCCGGAAACUUCAUAUAGAUGAAAUCAAAAUAAACGGUCUUUCGCA